Molecule: long non-coding RNA, 435 nt
Filed under: Homo sapiens (human)
Lineage: Eukaryota; Metazoa; Chordata; Mammalia; Primates; Hominidae
Description: HSALNT0151411
Source: RNAcentral
GGUUUCACAAAGAGUGAUCUCCAAGCUUAUGUAUAGCCCACGGCAUUGACACCCCAUGAGAAACACUGUUGAGGGUGAGUAAGAACUGCUCAGAAAGUGGGCAGUUUCUAUCUUCUCUGACAUUUGCUGAUAAGUCUCAAAUCUUUAGCCUUGUGGAUGCCAGCAGAUACUUUAAAAAGCCAGCAUUCAAGGAAGACAUUCUGCAAUGCAAACUGGAACUGGAAAUCUUCCCCUUCCUAGACUUAACCCAAGGUAAAAGGAAGAUAUCUGCUGGAAAAGCAGAUAUUUCCUCUGGAAAGAUGUCCUAAAUGGAAAUGGAAGAACUGAAUCCAUUAUAUUUAGAAGUUUUCUCAUUUGUAGUAUCUAUCUCUAAGUGUAUUAGCUUUCUUAUAAACAAUGAUAAAAUGUAUAAAAGGCGUAAGCAUUACAUUUUCU